UCAGAUAAGAAUUUGAUCCAUAAAUAAGUAAAAUAUUAGAAAAAAUUUUUAGAUGCAACCUGAGCAUUCUGGAGAAAAACUGUUCCCUUCCCUUUAUCCUACUCCUACAAUGAACCUACUGUCGCAAAUAUACACUAUAAGGAUCCAAAUAGCUAGGAGAUCAUGUUUAUGUGCAGUCAAACUAUAGCAACCCCACUGUGAGC
Molecule: long non-coding RNA, 203 nt
Filed under: Elaeis guineensis (African oil palm)
Lineage: Eukaryota; Viridiplantae; Streptophyta; Magnoliopsida; Arecales; Arecaceae
Description: long non-coding RNA (EGUI_LNC039356)
Source: RNAcentral